GGCCCCCAGACCUUGAUCCCCCAUGAAGUACCAAACCGCUGCUGAUCUCACCCGGAUGGGGGUGAGAUCGGCAGCGGUUUGGUACUUCAUGGGGGAUCAAGGUCUGGGGGCC
Molecule: non-coding RNA, 112 nt
Organism: Pelobates cultripes (western spadefoot toad)
Lineage: Eukaryota; Metazoa; Chordata; Amphibia; Anura; Pelobatidae
Source: the annotation of a GenBank genome assembly